GGUGAGAUGGCCCGAGCGGUCUAAGGCGCCAGACUAAGGAUCAAGGCGCUAGGCGUCUAUUCAAUUUCUCAUCUUCCCUAUUCGUAGGGAUGAAGUAGAUUAUCUGGUCCGAAAGGGCGUGGGUUCGAAUCCCACUCUCAUCA
This is a non-coding RNA of Coprinopsis sp. MPI-PUGE-AT-0042, 143 nucleotides long. Lineage: Eukaryota; Fungi; Basidiomycota; Agaricomycetes; Agaricales; Psathyrellaceae. The record is from the annotation of a GenBank genome assembly.